Molecule: ribosomal RNA, 807 nt
Filed under: uncultured bacterium
Lineage: Bacteria
Description: bacterial SSU rRNA
Rfam family: Bacterial small subunit ribosomal RNA
Source: RNAcentral
ACGGUAACUGGACUUCCGUCGCUGACGAGUGGCGCACGGGUGAGUAACGCGUGGGUUACCUGCCCAUAAGUGGGGAACAACUUGGAUAAAUCCAAGCUAAUACCGCAUAAUACCUUCGGGUUAAAGAGGGGGAUCUUCGGACCUCUCGCUUAUGGAUGGUCCCCCGUCUGAUUACCAAGUUGGUAGGGUAAUGGCCUACCAAGGCAAUGAUCAGUAUCUGGUCUGAGAGGAUGAUCAGUCACACUGGAACUGAGACACAGUCCAGACUCCUACGGGAGGCAGCAGUGGGGAAUUUUGCACUAUGGGCGAAAGCCUGAUGCAGCUACGCCGCGUGCGGGAAGAAGGCCUUCGGGUUGUAAAUCGCUUUCUCCAGGGAAGAAGGAAUGAUAGCUAAUACCUCUCUGCCUUGACGGUACCUGUAGAAGAAGCACCGGCUAAUUUCGUGCCAGCAGCCGCGGUAAUACGAAAGGUGCAAGCGUUGUUCAGAUUUACUGGGCGUAAAGAGAUCGUAGGUGGCUUGUUAAGUCGGAUGUGACAUCCCGGGGCUCAACCCCGGAACUGCAUCCGAUACUGGCAGGCUUGAGUUUGGAGAGGGGUAAGCGGAAUUCCGUGUGUAGCAGUGAAAUGCGUAGAUAUACGGAGGAACACCUGAGGCGAAAGCGGCUUACUGGACCCAUACUGACACUGAGGAUCGAAAAGCGUGGGUAGCAAACAGGAUUAGAUACCCUGGUAGUCCACGCCCUAAACGAUGUCAACUAGCCGUUGCGGGUAUCGACCCCAUGCAGUGGCGCAGCUAACGCGAUGAGU